RNAcentral lists this ribosomal RNA (1480 nucleotides) under uncultured bacterium. RNAcentral describes it as "partial 16S ribosomal RNA". It matches the Rfam family "Bacterial small subunit ribosomal RNA". The record is from RNAcentral.
AGAGUUUGAUUAUGGCUCAGAGUGAACGUUGGCGGCGUGCCUAACACAUGCAAGUCGAACGAGAACCGAGUAGCUUGCUACUCGGGGAAAGUGGCGAACGGGUGAGUAACACGUGAGCAAUCUGCCCUCGAGUGAGGAAUAACCCCGCGAAAGCGGGGCUAAUACCGCAUGAUGCUCUGAAGCAUAAGCUUUCAGAGUUAAAGCCCUUAGGGGCGCUUGAGGAUGAGCUUGCGUCCUAUUAGCUUGUUGGUAGGGUAAUGGCCUACCAAGGUUAUGAUGGGUAGCCGGCCUGAGAGGGUGUCCGGCCACACUGGAACUGGGACACGGUCCAGACUCCUACGGGAGGCAGCAGUGAGGAAUUUUGCGCAAUGGGCGAGAGCCUGACGCAGCGACGCCGCGUGGAGGAUGAAGGCUUUCGGGUUGUAAACUCCUGUCAGAGGUGAAGAAAACCCCCUUAGGGGGGCUUAACGGUAACCUCAGAGGAAGCCCCGGCUGACUACGUGCCAGCAGCCGCGGUAAUACGGGGGGUGCAAGCGUUAUUCGGAAUUAUUGGGCGUAAAGGGCGCGCAGGCGGCCUCUUAAGUCAGAUGUGAAAGCCCGGGGCUUAACCCCGGAGGUGCAUUUCAAACUAAUAGACUUGAGAUUGGAAGAGGGAAACGGAAUUAGCAGUGUAAGGGUGAAAUCUGUAGAUAUUGCUAAGAACACCAGCGGCGAAGGCGGUUUCCUGGUCCAAUUCUGACGCUGAAUUGCGAAAGCUAGGGGAGCAAACAGAAUUAGAUACUCUGGUAGUCCUAGCUGUAAACGAUGAGUACUAGGUGUUGGUCCUUCGGGAUCGGUGUCGCAGCUAACGCAUUAAGUACUCCACCUGGGGACUACGGCCGCAAGGCUAAAACUCAAAGGAAUUGACGGGGACCCGCACAAGCGGUGGAACAUGUGGUUUAAUUCGAUGCUACGCGAAGAACCUCACCAAGGCUUGACUUGCUCGUCAUAUCUCUCUGAAAGGAGAGAGUCAUUUAGUUGGACGAUGCACAGGUGCUGCAUGGCUGUCGUCAGCUCGUGUCGUGAGAUGUUGGGUUAAGUCCCGCAACGAGCGCAACCAUUGCCCCAUGUUGCUACCAUACCUUAAACCUUCGGGUUUGGGUGUGCGCACUCUUGGGGGACUGCCCGGGAUAACCGGGAGGAAGGUGGAGAUGACGUCAAGUCAGUACGGCCCUUAUGCCUUGGGCUACACACGUGUUACAAUGGACGGUACAGAGGGUUGCCAACCCGCGAGGGGGAGCUAAUCUCAGAAAGCCGUCCUCAGUUCGGAUUGGAGUCUGCAAUUCGACUCCAUGAAGUCGGAAUCGCUAGUAAUGGGAGAUCAGCUCGCUCCCGUGAAUACGUUCCCGGGUCUUGUACACACCGCCCGUCAAGCGAUGAAAGCUAGGAGUACCCGAAGUCCUAUGUAGGUAGGCCGAAGGUAAGACUGGUGAUUGGCGCU